UUCAUCCAGAGUGACGGAGGGACCGGCCCUAUGAUGUCGCGGCAACCAUCUCGUUUGAGAACGGUGCCAAUUCCGACGGGCAAUCGCCCGACAGAUGAA
RNAcentral lists this non-coding RNA (99 nucleotides) under human gut metagenome. Its description in RNAcentral is "SAM riboswitch (S box leader)". It matches the Rfam family "SAM riboswitch aptamer (S box leader)". From Rfam's summary of the family: The SAM riboswitch is found upstream of a number of genes which code for proteins involved in methionine or cysteine biosynthesis in Gram-positive bacteria. The SAM riboswitch acts at the level of transcription termination control. The record is from RNAcentral.